UAACGAUUUGGGCACUGUCUCAACGAGAGACUCGGUGAAAUCAUAGUACCUGUGAAGAUGCAGGUUACCCGCGACAGGACGGAAAGACCCCGUGGAGCUUUACUGUAGCCUGAUAUUGAAAUUCGGCACAGCUUGUACAGGAUAGGUAGGAGCCUUUGAAACGUGAGCGCUAGCUUACGUGGAGGCGCUGGUGGGAUACUACCCUAGCUGUGUUGGCUUUCUAACCCGCACCACUUAUCGUGGUGGGAGACAGUGUCAGGCGGGCAGUUUGACUGGGGCGGUCGCCUCCUAAAAGGUAACGGAGGCGCUCAAAGGUUCCCUCAGAAUGGUUGGAAAUCAUUCAUAGAGUGUAAAGGCAUAAGGGAGCUUGACUGCGAGACCUACAAGUCGAGCAGGGUCGAAAGACGGACUUAGUGAUCCGGUGGUUCCGCAUGGAAGGGCCAUCGCUCAACGGAUAAAAGCUACCCCGGGGAUAACAGGCUUAUCUCCCCCAAGAGUUCACAUCGACGGGGAGGUUUGGCACCUCGAUGUCGGCUCAUCGCAUCCUGGGGCUGUAGUCGGUCCCAAGGGUUGGGCUGUUCGCCCAUUAAAGCGGUACGCGAGCUGGGUUCAGAACGUCGUGAGACAGUUCGGUCCCUAUCCGUCGUGGGCGUAGGAAAUUUGAGAGGAGCUGUCCUUAGUACGAGAGGACCGGGAUGGACAUACCUCUGGUGUACCAGUUGUCGUGCCAACGGCAUAGCUGGGUAGCUAUGUGUGGACGGGAUAAGUGCUGAAAGCAUCUAAGCAUGAAGCCCCCCUCAAGAUGAGAUUUCCCAACUUCGGUUAUAAGAUCCCUCAAAGAUGAUGAGGUUAAUAGGUUCGAGGUGGAAGCAUGGUGA
Molecule: ribosomal RNA, 878 nt
Filed under: Staphylococcus aureus
Lineage: Bacteria; Bacillati; Bacillota; Bacilli; Caryophanales; Staphylococcaceae
Description: partial 23S ribosomal RNA
Rfam family: Bacterial large subunit ribosomal RNA
Source: RNAcentral